GACAGAGGGUGCAAACGUUGCUCGGAAUUACUGGGCGUAAAGCGCGUGUAGGCGGUUUCUUAAGUCAGGUGUGAAAGCCCGGGGCUCAACCCCGGAAGUGCACAUGAUACUGGGAAGCUUGAGUACUGAAGAGGAGAGCGGAAUUCUCGGUGUAGAGGUGAAAUUCGUAGAUAUCGGGAGGAACACCAGUGGCGAAGGCGGCUCUCUGGGCAGAUACUGACGCUGAGACGCGAAAGCAUGGGGAGCAAACAGG
Molecule: ribosomal RNA, 253 nt
Filed under: uncultured bacterium
Lineage: Bacteria
Description: partial 16S ribosomal RNA
Rfam family: Bacterial small subunit ribosomal RNA
Source: RNAcentral